Molecule: RNA transcript, 2623 nt
Organism: Nylanderia fulva
Lineage: Eukaryota; Metazoa; Arthropoda; Insecta; Hymenoptera; Formicidae
Source: RefSeq, a predicted model, not a curated record
UGUUGUUUCGUAAGGUUUUCAAAAUUAUUAAAAUAAUAUACAAAAUACUUUUAUGUCAAUAAAUACGCCACGCAAUUGGAUCGAACUCCACGUGGUCAGGAAACGUCAGACAAUUGUUAGAACAAUUCGUAUUCUUAUAUAUCUUGCGAACAACUAUUACGCAUCCUAGUUAAACAAUUACUCCGAAAUAUCUGUAAAAAAACUGAGAGGCUUUUGCGUUCUUAGACGUGUUUGUACUUUAAUUAUUCAUUAACACGCCGCUAAUGGCUCGAACUUUCACGCGUCUCAAAUUCCGCAUAUAUAUAUAUUUAUAUCUUACAACUGUAUAUUUUCGCAUUUCGACCACAGACUCGUCAUUACCUGCUGCGUGCUCAGGUCUAGACCUAAAUAUGUUGCCGUCGACGAUUCGUUCAUGUUUCCGAUACGCUGGAAUGACGUGGGAUCUUGUGAAAGCGAUGACAGAAAAACGCGAUUUUGACAGAUGACAGCUCCGAUGCUCUUUCGACGACGUGUCUGCGAGUCGCUUCGCUGCUCGAGGAACUAAAUGCGAGCGAACGCACAGACUUGUGCGUAACCCACGUACAUCCUAGGAUGAACUUGGAUGUCGUCGUUAUAUAUUAUGCACUAUUUCGACCCCCGCCAGAAAUGAUCUUAUCGUUCUCGCAUUACGUAACGCGAUCUCUCGCCGGAUCCGCCUGGAGAUGACUUGUUAACGUGGCACUUUGACGAGGACGAACGAUAUACUGGGGAUUGAGGGUAAUAAGUUAGGUUAAGAUACAUAUCGUACUGGUUUUGACGUUUCUGGAACAGGAGCUCGGCUUGAGGUGACCGCGAGAUGAUAAUUGACGUCGCGCGAGUUAUUUUAUCGGCAGGGCUUCCGAAGCGUAUCUGCGCGCCAUCUGUAGUCACAAUCGUGCAACGCGUAUCCUAGCAACCGAUAACAGUCAAUAUGGCGGCGUGACGUUCGCGGUUGAAUUUUUCUUGUCCAGCAAAACUCUGUUAAAAAGGACAAUGUUUGACGAGGAUCCGGAAUUAGCAGAAAGUGGCGGUAGCGCAAAACGACGAGGAUGGAAAUAUGAUGGACGGUUGGAGAGGCAGAUUGUUAGCCGGUGCACGAGUUUGUUUGCGUAGUCGAGGACACGUAUGUGCUGGUGCAGGGCGGAGAACAGCUAUGCCGGGGGUGUUCUACAUGGGCGCCAAAGUUCCAAUGGAUCUCGAGCAAACCGAUGUCGCCGUUUCGAUUCCUCGGGAUCGCGCGAUCGAGGAACAGCGACGAGGGAGAAGAAGGGACGCGGCAAAUGACAUUGUUUAUCCCUCCGCACAAGAGCAAGAAGAGUCCGCCCGAAAAGUGUAUAUACGCAGAGUGGCGUCGUCGAUCGGCAAUUUGGCUUGACUCGGUCAAGCACCCUGGUGUGUACCAGCAGUUUCAACGUCCCCGUUGCCAGAACCACCCUUCCACGCGCCCCUUCCGCCGAUGUGUUCGCCACCGCUGUCGGUGCCGGGCGUCGCGCGCGCACGUCGUCGUUGACGCUCGCACGUGUGUAUACGUAUCGGCGACGAGGGUGCGCGUACAUGUCCGCCGAGUGGCGUCAGGAACCGCGUCGCCACGUUACUGGCGCGCCGCCGCUCUAUGUCGCCGCGGAUUCGCGCCGCUCCGGCCGCCCUUAGGCGAGGAGCCACACCACGACGAUGGCGACGACGACGACGACGACGACGCCGACGACGACGACGACGACGACGACGAACACAGGGGUGGCGAGAGUCCCUCGGCUCCAGUCGUCCGUAUAUUUGCAGCGCAUUCGUACACGCGCUUACAUAUUGCCCGGCGUUCGGCCGGCGUCGCGGCCAGUCGACGCUCGACGAUCGUAGGAGUCGAGUCCCCGGAGAGUUGCCGAUCGUGCACCUCCAUUGAAUAUAUACGCGAAACUUUUGGUCUUCCCUCUGGACGUCUCUCCGUUGUAGAUGAAAUCGCGCGAAGAAAAAUACGCGAUUUUUUCCAACUCCUUUUUUUCGACAUUUAAUUACCGCGUCAUGCGUGUUAAUUGAGAAACAAGGUCUUGGUUGUUUGCACGACUUUAUAUAUGCGUGCCUUGUUUUAAUCGAUGGAGUAAGGAGUACGAUAAAAUUCAGCGGUGUGUUUUACGCGAAAUCUUCCGUCGAAGAUUUCGUAAUCGGCAGCGAGUUUUGUACGCCGGCGUAGCACGUGCACGGUAUCUCGGCCAAUAGCGGAAAGUCUGCAACAGGCUCGACGAAUUCUUUUUGUUCUCAACGUCGGUAUACCUUGAGCCAGGGCCGCCCUGAUCGACAUUUAAUUGGGCCAAGACAUCGAGGCACCGAAGAAACGCGGAUAGCCCUACAGAAUUUACCGAGAGAUCUUUACCGGUUGUACAAGAGAGACGAGAGGAAGAACGAGAAACAAGCACGAUGGUCCUCGGUAGACGAGGAGCGGAGAAAAAGAUUAGGCAUCUCUACUAAGAGCAAUUGACGGUGCGAUCUUCAAAAUUUUUAUGCUACGGUCGUUGUAUCGGCGUGUUGUCGGGACGACAAGGACAGAAGGAGACGAGCCGCGCCACCGCGGCGGCGAGAGACGCGAGGCAGAGUGAGAGCGCUGCGUGUGUGCCGG